AAGACCUUACUUCAUAGGAUCAUUUCUAUAGUAAGUUCUUCACCCAGAAACUCGCAAUAUGUGAGGGCACACAGU
This is a small nucleolar RNA of Galleria mellonella (greater wax moth), 75 nucleotides long. RefSeq annotates it as small nucleolar RNA U3. NCBI's taxonomy places the organism in Eukaryota, Metazoa, Arthropoda, Insecta, Lepidoptera, Pyralidae. The record is from RefSeq and is a predicted model, not a curated record. The transcript has a single exon.